Molecule: long non-coding RNA, 4676 nt
Filed under: Sus scrofa (pig)
Lineage: Eukaryota; Metazoa; Chordata; Mammalia; Artiodactyla; Suidae
Description: lncRNA (ENSSSCG00040025707.1)
Source: RNAcentral
AAAGAGACUGUCAUUUCUCCACUGUAUAUUCUUGCCUCCCUUGUCAUAGAUUAAUUGACCAUAGGUGCGUGUGUUUACUUCUGGGCUUUCUAUACUGCUCUAUUGAUCUAUAGGUCUGUUGUAGUGCCAGUAACAUACUGUAUUCAUUACUGUAUGUUUGUAAUAUAGUCUGAAUUCAGGGAAUGUGAUUAUAAUUUUUGGAUUUGGACUUAUUUUCGAAGUCUGUCUCCAUGUAGAGAAUUGAGAGGUAAAUUGACAGAUUUUUCUUCUACUUUUUAUUUUAUCAUCUAACACCUUAAUCCUUAUAGAAUAAUUUUGGAUUGUGAUAUGAAGCAUGAGUACUGACUAAUAUAUAUGCCCUUACUAGUGACUUCUGCAGGUAAUCCUCAGGAUCAUUUUGACUUCAAAAGUAGGCAAAUCAACCUAUUAAAAUAAAUAGUCAGGAUGUCAAGUUCAGGAAAUAUCUCUUUCAGAUUUUGAUUAGAAUUGCAUUGACUAUCUAAAUUAACUUUAAGAAAAAAUUGAUAGCUUUUAAAAUUUUACUAAUACAUCUAAGAACAAUUUAUGUCUCUAUUCAAAUAAUAAUGUUAAGAUUAUGGUGAUUUACAGUUUUAAACAAUUUUAAGCAAUUUUACAAAAUUUAUAUUUUUAUGUGAUAUAUUUACUAUAUAUACUAUACUAUAAUAUAAAUACUAUAGUAUAAAGUAUACUUUAUUGAAGUUCCCAUCAUGGCGUAGUGGAAACAAAUCCAACUAGGAACCAUGAGAUUGCGGAUUCAAUCCCUGGCCUCAGUCAGUGGGUUAAGGAUCUGGUGUUGCUGUGAGCUAAGGCAUAGGUCACAGAUGUGGCUCAGAUCUGGCUUUGCUCUGGCUGUAGCAUAGGGUGGCAGCUGCAGCUCUGAUUAGACCCCUAGCCUGAGAACUUCCAUAAGCCUUGGUUGCAUCCCUAAAAAGCAAAAAACAAAUAAAUAAAUGAAGUGUACUUUAUCAUAUAUUACAUAUUAAUGUAAAAUUUAAUAGUAAAACUUUAUAGUUAAUAACACUAAAUUAUUAGAUAACCUCAUAUUUUCUUUAAAAUAUUUUAGUGUUUUCUUUUUUUUUGCCAUUUCAUAUUAACUUUAUUUUUUUGUGAGCUUAGAGAUUUAUUUCUGCUCAUUGAGAUCUUUUAUUUUUUCUAUUUUUUUAUUUUAUUAUUAUUAUUUUUAAUAGUUAUUUCCCCAAUACAAUUUUUUUUUAUACCGUACGGCAUGGUGAUCCAGUUACACAUAAUGUACACAUUCUAUUUUCACACAUUAUAAUGCUCCAUCAUAAGUGUCUAGACAUAGUUCCCAGUGCUACACAGUGGUGUUUUAUUUUCUUGAUAUUGAAAUUCAUUUUACAUAAAUUUUAUAACUGAUUAUUAAACAUAUUAGGAGAGAGAUUAAAAGGGGAAAAUAGCACCACAUUUAAAACUUAGACUUUUUUUAAAACUACUUAAUGAAUUUUAUUACAUUUAGAGGUGUACAACAAUCAUCACAACCAAAUUUUAUGGCAUUUCCAUCCCAAACCCUCUGUGUAUCCGCCUACCCCACAAUCUGUCUCAACUGGAAACCAUAAGGUUUUCAGUCUGUGAGGCAGUAUCUGUUCUGCAAAGAAGUUCAGUCUGUCCUUUUUUCAGAUUCCACAUGUCAGUGAAAGCAUUUGAUGUUGGUGUCUCAUUGUCUGAUUGACUUCACUUAGCAUGAAAAUUUCUAGGUCCAUCCAUGUUGCUAAAAAUGCUGGUAUUUUGUUCCUUUUAAUGGCUGAGUAAUAUUCCACUGUGUAUAUGUACCACUUCUCUUGUAUCCACUCCUCUGUCAAUGGACAUUUAGGUUGUUUCCAUGUCUUGGCUAUUGCAAAUAGUGCUGAAAAUGAACUGUAGGUACAUGUGUCUUUGCAAGCUGUGGUUUUCUCUGGAUAGAUGCCCAGGAGUGGGAUUGCUGGUUCAAAUGGGAGUUCUAUUUUUAGUUUUCUGGGGCAUCUCCAUACUGUUUUCUACAGGGGUUGCACCAAUUCACAAUCCUACCAACAAUGUACUAGGGUUCCUUUUUCUCCACACCCUCUCCAGCACUUUAGGCCAUCAUCCAAAAGUUUGUAGACUUUUGGAUGAUGGCCAUUCUAGCUGGUGUAAGGUAGUACCUCAUAGUGGUUUUGAUUUGCAUUUCUCUGAUAAAGAGUAAUGUUGAACAUCUUUUCACGUGUUUUUUGGCCAUCCAUAUGUCUUCUUUGGAGACUUGUCUGUUUAGAUCUUCUGCCCAUUUUUUGAUGGGGUGGUUUGUUUUUUUGGUAUUGAGCUGUAGGAGCUGUUUAUAAAUUUUGGAGAUGAAUCCCUUGUCAGUCAAUUCAUUUGUAAAAAGAUUUUCUCCCAUUCUGUGGGCUGUCUUUUCAUUUUGUUUAGGGUUUCCCUUGCUGUGCAGAAACUUUUAAGUUUGAUUAGGUCCAAUUUGUUUAUUUUUGUUUUUACUGUCAUUACUCUCAGAGGUGAAUCUGAGAAGAUGUUGCUGUGGUUUAUGUCAGAGAGUGUUUGGCCUAUGUUUUCCUCUAAGAGUUUUAUAGUGUCUGGUCUUAUAUCUAGGUCUUUAAUCCAUUUUGAGUUUAUGUAUGUAAUGGUGUUAGGAAGUUUUCUAAUUUCAUUCCUUUCCAUGUGGCUGUCCAGUUUUCCCAGCACCACUUAUUGAAGGGGCUGUCUUUUCUCCAUUGUAUAUUCUUGCCUCCUUUGUCAUAGAUUAGUUGGCUGUAGGUGCAUGGGUUUAAUUCUGGGCUUUCUAUCCUAUUCCACUGAUCUAUAUUUCCAUCUUUGUGCCAGAACCAUAUAGUUUUGAUGACUGUAGCUUUGUAGAGUAGUCUGAAAUCGGGGAGCCUGAUUCCUCCAGCUCCAUUUUUCUUUCUCAAGAUGGCUUUGGUUAUCCUGGGUCUUUUGUGCUUCCAAACAAACUUUAAAAUAUUUUGUUUGAGUUCUGUGAAAAAUGUCCUGGGUAAUUUGAUAGGGAUUGCAUAGAUUGCCUUGGGUAGUAUAGUCAUUUUCAUAAUAUUGACUCUUCCAAUCCAAGAGCAUGGAAUGUCUUUCCAUCUAUUUGUGUCAUUUUUGAUUUCUUUCAUCAGUAUCUUGUAGUUUUCAGAAUACAGGUCUUUUGUCUCUUUAGGUAGAUUUAUUCCUACGUAUUUUAUUCUUUUUGAUGUGAUGGUAAAUGGGAUCAUUCUCCUAAUUUCUCUUUCUGAUCUUUCAUUGUUAGUGCAUAGAAAUGCCAUCAAUUUCUGUGUAUUAAUUUUGUAUCCUGCAACUUUGCCAAAUUCAUGGAUGAGCUCUAACAGUUUUUUCUGGUAGUGUCUUAAUAUUCUCUAGGUAUAGUAUCAUGUCGUGCAAAUAGUGAUAGUUUUACUUCUUCCUUUCCAAUUUGGAUUCCUUUGAUUUCUUUUACUUCUCUGAUUGCUGUGGCUAGGACUUCCAAAACUAUGUUGAAAAGCAGUGGCAAGAGUGGAUGUCUUUGUCUUGUUUCUGAUCUCAGUGGGAAUUCCUUCAGCUUUUCACCAUUGAGAAUGAUGUUAGCUCUGGGUUUACCAUAUAUGGGUUUUAUUAUGUUGAGGUAUGUUCCCUCUGUGCUCACUUUCUGAAGGGUUUUUAAUCAUAAAUGGGUGUUGGAUUUUGCCAAAGGCUUUUUCUGCAAAAAAACUUAAGACUUUUGAUUCAAAUGUAACUGGCUGAGUCCUGACAUUGGAAAAAUGCAUAUUUCUGGCAAGAUUAUAUACCAUACCAAUAGUUCUAUUUCCCAUAUAUGAGGUUGGGAGAAAGAUGAAUAUAUGCAAGAUAUCUAAGAAUAUUACUAAAGUAUGAAUACAUUGUUUCUGUAGGAAUUACUAGCUCUAAAUAAAAUGAACAGAAAGCAAAUAUUAAGACAGGUGACAAAGGAGGGCAGGAACUCUGGGAUCAAUACUAUUUUACUAUACUAUUAAAUCCAAAUGGGUAAGUUAACUGUCUGAGAAUGUGAAUUUUAAAUGCUAAAUUAAGGCCUGAAAAAGAACAAAUACUCUGCAAAGGAAAUGUUAAUAACAAUAUUAUAUAUUAUAAAUAUGUAGCUAUCUCAACAAAAUAUAGAGGUUAAGCAUGAAGGUGAGCAUGAGCACGUGAAGAAAGUAAGAAAGUAACAUUUUCUAAACAUCUCCUAUUCAUGUGGAAGGGAAAAGAAGAGAAGAACAGGAAGAAAUAAAUUUAUUUCUCAGAACCUAUUUUACUGCAGAUGAGAACAGGUCUUGGGGAAAAGAAAGUAAAACGUUUUGAGGUAUAUAAGAGUGAGGAAAUACCUAGCAUUUUCUUUUCUAAUCUUUGCAGAGGAAUAUGUGCCUGAUUAUGCUAAUAGGAUAAGGGGGACCAUGUCAAUAAAAUGGUAAAUAAUAGUAUUACUUUCAAAUUUACAAGGACAAAGUUGAAUGAAAACAAUAUGUAUUAAAGAUAUUUAUUCCUAAUAUGUAGAAUAUACUUAAAAUCAAUAAUAAAAGAAUAAUUAUUUAAAAUGAAAGGAUUUGACCCUUUAAAAAAGCUGAACAAAACAUUCACAAAAUAGCAUAUACAAGUUAAUAAAACUUGGAAAUUUGAUCGACAUUUUUUCCAUCACAGAAAUGAAAAUUGAAACUCAAUGGACCAUUCCAUCCUAUUAAAAGAAC